ACGAAGAAAAGAGGAAGAGAAAGUGAGAGAGAAUCAGGUUGUUGCUAGCAAUCGGAGGCAGAGAGAGAUUAGCACCAUUUGAAUCGAAGAUGGAGAGAAGCCACCUUAAGUCGCCGAUUGAGGAUUCGAGAAGGUUUGCGCUUUUUGGAAAUCGGCAGUGGCUGUGUGGCGAAAACCUGAUGGAGAACACCGUUGUGCUUUCGCUUACGGACCAAAGUGAGGGCACGAUCGAAACUCCAACACAAAAGAAGCAUUUUGGGGCAUGGAAAUAGAAGAAACUGUGAUUUGAAGCUCAGUCCAAUGGGGUUCCUUAUAAAAGGAGGUUUGGUCAGUCAUCAUCGAUUAAUUGUUGCUUGCCACUGUGAGGGUAAACGAUGGAAAUUUUGGCGUGAUAGCAAUUUGAAGAGUAAAUUUUAGGGUCACUCAAUUCAGCUUGAUCAUGUUGUUCUUUUAAUGGUGGAAUUUGAAGACAGAGAAAUUUUUCAAUGGAGUAAGGUUACAACAUCAAUUAACAAUCUUAUAUUGGAAAAGCUCUAUUGUGACCACUGUGGUACAAUGCGUAUACAGGGGAAUCAUAACUAUUCUUGCAAGCUGAAAUUCAAGGAGCAAUCUAUCAUUGACCAAAAUCCUCACCAGUACAUGGUUUAGUUCAAGAUAGAAAUGGAAAAACAAUAGCAAUACUAUUUGGAAAAUGGGAUGAGAGCAUCCAUUAUGUGGAUGGAAAUUGUUCUGGGAAGGGAAAAGGAUUGGAGUCUUGACCUGAUGCCCAGUUGCAUUGGAAACGGAGCAAGCCACCCCAGUUUCCUACAAGAUAUAACUUGCCACGCUUUGCCAUCACCAUGAAUGAACUCACCCUUGGAUUAAAGGUAGUGUCGAUGACUUCAUUACUAUUACUUAAUGCCCUGGUUUGAAACACUGCACCGGAACAUUUUUUCUUUCU
Molecule: long non-coding RNA, 940 nt
Organism: Ziziphus jujuba (common jujube)
Lineage: Eukaryota; Viridiplantae; Streptophyta; Magnoliopsida; Rosales; Rhamnaceae
Exons: 5
Source: RefSeq, a predicted model, not a curated record